Molecule: ribosomal RNA, 270 nt
Filed under: Clostridioides difficile
Lineage: Bacteria; Bacillati; Bacillota; Clostridia; Peptostreptococcales; Peptostreptococcaceae
Description: partial 23S ribosomal RNA
Rfam family: Bacterial large subunit ribosomal RNA
Source: RNAcentral
CAUACAGGUCGAGCAAGGAUGAAAAUCGGACUUAGUGAUCCGGUGGUUCUGCGUGGAAGGGCCAUCGCUCAACGGAUAAAAGCUUCCCUGGGGAUAACAGGCUUAUCUCCCCCAAGAGUCCACAUCGACGGGGAGGUUUGGCACCUCGAUGUCGGCUCAUCCCAUCCUGGGGCUGUAGUAGGUCCCAAGGGUUGGGCUGUUCGCCCAUUAAAGUGGUACGCGAGCUGGGUUCAGAACGUCGUGAGACAGUUCGGUCCCUAUCCGUCGCAG